UUCUACUUUGUUUUUGUUAGCACAGGGACCUCUCUCUACUCUUUCUUCCACCUAUACAUUCCCACCCACCACCCACCAAGCUUCAUAAUACGUCGCCGGAAAAUCUGAUAAGAACCAGAGCUCCGCUGCCUGAUAAUUCCUCUUGCCGCCAUUGAAGCAAGACACCACUUAUUCUACUUUGUUUUUGUUAGCACUUGAUAAAUUCUACCAUGCAAUCUUCAAGCGGUUCGAUGAAGGUCUCGCCGUUCGAUCUCAUGUCGGCGAUUAUCAAAGGGAAAAUGGACCCUUCCAAUGUAUCGUCAGAAUCAGGUGCUGAGGUGGCAACCUUGUUCCUUGAGAACCGGGAGUUUAUUAUGAUUUUAACGACGUCUAUCGCGGUUUUGAUUGGGUGUGUUGUGGUGUUGGUGUGGAGAAGAUCCUGCGGUCAGAAAUCUAAGUCCUCUGCCUUUGAACCUCCUAAGCCGUUGAUUGUUAAGGAGCUAGAGCCUGAGCCGGAUGACGGCCAUAAAAAGGUUACCAUCCUUUUCGGUACUCAGACUGGUACAGCUGAAGGAUUCGCUAAGGCUUUGGCCGAAGAGGGAAAAGCGCGGUAUGAAAAGGCCACAUUUAAAAUUAUUGAUUUGGAUGAUUAUGCGGCUGAUGAUGAUGAGUACGAAGAGAAACUCAAGAAAGAGUCUUUGGUUUUGUUCUUUGUGGCUACAUACGGAGAUGGUGAGCCAACAGAUAAUGCUGCGAGGUUCUAUAAAUGGUUUACAGAGGGUAAUGAGAGAGGGGAAUGGCUUCAGAACCUUAAGUUUGGGGUGUUUGGCCUUGGCAACAAGCAAUAUGAACAUUUUAAUAAGAUUGCUAAAGUGUUGGAUGAGACCCUUGAACAGCAGGGUGCAAAGCGUCUUGUUCCUUUGGGUCUUGGAGAUGAUGAUCAAUGCAUAGAAGAUGACUUCACUGCUUGGAGAGAAUCAGUGUGGCCUGAGUUGGAUCAGCUGCUCCGGGAUGAGCAUGAUGCAACAGCUGUUUCUACUCCCUAUACAGCUGCUGUGUUGGAAUAUCGGGUUGCAUUUUAUGAUCCUGAAAAUGCACCUUUAGAGGAUAAGAACUGGAGUAAUGCAAAUGGACAUGCUAUCCAUGAUGCUCAACAUCCAUGCAGGUCUAAUGUUGCUGUGAGAAAAGAGCUUCAUACACCUGCAUCUGAUCGUUCUUGCACCCAUUUGGAGUUUGACAUAGCUAGCACUGGACUCACAUAUGAAACUGGUGAUCAUGUCGGCGUAUACUGUGAAAAUCUUGAUGAAGUUGUGGAGGAGGCACUGCAAUUGUUGAAUUUGUCACCAGAUACUUAUUUCUCUAUCCAUUCUGACAAAGAGGACGGCACUCCACUUAGUGGAAGCUCCUUGCUGCCUCCUUUCCCACCAUGCUCCUUACGAACAGCUCUCACUCGAUAUGCUGAUCUUUUGAGUUCACCCAAAAAGGUUAGGCGUUUUCUUGAGUCUAGUGAAUCUGUGUUGCAUAUUUGUCUUUUUUACUUAAAAUUAUUCUUACCAUGAUUUGUUAAAUUAUAUAUUAUUUUAUUUAUUUUUAUGUUCUGAUUAAUUGAUUGUUCCAAUUCUUCUGGUUUUCAGUCUGCUUUACUCGCUUUAGCAGCUCAUGCCACUCAUCCAACUGACGCUGAUAGACUAACGCAUCUUGCUUCCCCUGCUGGAAAGGAUGAAUAUGCACAAUGGAUAGUUGCCAAUCAGAAAAGCCUCCUUGAGGUUAUGGCUGAAUUUCAAUCAGCCAGGCCCCCACUUGGUGUCUUCUUUGCUGCAGUCGCUCCUCGCUUGCAGCCUAGAUAUUAUUCUAUCUCAUCAUCCCCAAGGUGAAUAUUUUAUUACUCCUCUUUCGGGAAAAUUUUAGCAUUAGUGCUGGAGUGUUUUUUACUUGAGAAUAAUCUGAUAUAAUGGAAAUACGUACUAGGAUUCAAUGCACUUAAGGCAUAUCUGCAUUAAGACCAAACCAUUACCUCCAUUUAUUAUUCAAGCUAUAAGAGCUUGGAUGUUUUAUUGGGGAGCCCUUCAGGGGAAUCUUGUUAGACGGGAAUUUACUGUAGUGAGGCUCAUCUAUUGGGUGGAAAAAGAAAAUUGUCACCGCUUCAUUUGCUACCGAGGAACCUUUUGAGGGAGAAUGAUAUCAUAUUUGCUUUGGCAUUCUCUAUUUAUGCUUUAAUGUAUUUUCUUAUCUAGAACAUUGCGUGUUUACCAUUUGAAAUUAUGCUCUGCAGGAUGGCACCAUCUAGAAUUCAUGUUACUUGUGCACUGGUUCUUGAGAAAACACCAGGGGGACGGCUACAUAAAGGAGUGUGCUCAACUUGGAUGAAGGUAUGUUUUUGAUUUCUUUGCUUUGCUAUUUGUUUCUCCUUUCUGGGUGGCCUUGCCACACCUAGUUGGAGCUAAGUGGUUGAAGUAUUAUUCUUAGGGAUUUAGUUACUGCCAACUCUAGAAAAAUGACAAGCCCUCUUUCCUGCAUUCUUUUAUGUGUAUGCUUGUUUGUGUAAAAGAAUUGCUUAGUCUACAUGCUGCAUAAGUUACAUUCUCCAACUAUUGGGUAAGCACUAUCCGUGGGCAUGUGUACUGUUGUAAUUAUAUUGCUUUAUUCCUUGACUUCUAUUCUAUUCUUUGAUGUAUUUUUUGUCUCACAAAUGUAUUUCAGUUUCAGAAUUUUAUUUAAUAUUUUGUACCUCAAAUUAUUUCCUCUAGGAAUUAAAUGUCUUAACCCAUCAUCCUGCAGAAUUCUGUGCCUUUGGAGAAAAGCCAUGAGUGCAGUUGGGCACCCAUUUUUGUCCGGCAAUCAAACUUUAAGCUUCCUAAAGACACCCAAGUACCCAUCAUUAUGAUUGGCCCUGGGACUGGUUUGGCUCCUUUCAGGGGCUUUUUGCAGGUUCAACUUGCAGACUUCAGUCAUCUGUUUGUCAUGCUUAUGUGUGUGGACAUAUCUAAGCCAAUCAUCUGUGAUUUUUGUAUUUCCUUCUGCAGGAAAGGUUAGCCCUGAAAGAAGCUGGAGCAGAAUUGGGAUCCUCUAUAUUAUUCUUUGGUUGCAGGAACAGUAAGAUGGAUUACAUCUAUAAAGAUGAGCUCAACAACUUUGUUGAAAGUGGUGCACUUUCUGAGUUGAUUGUUGCUUUUUCACGUGAGGGACCUACCAAGCAAUAUGUGCAGCAUAAAAUGUUGGAGAAGGCUUCAGAAAUCUGGAACAUAAUUUCUCAGGGAGGAUAUAUAUAUGUUUGCGGUGAUGCCAAAGGCAUGGCUAGAGAUGUCCACAGAACGCUUCACACCAUUGUGCAAGAGCAGGUAUGCUAACAAUUGGAGUUUUGGUACUAUAAUAGCUGCUUUUCACAUGUUGACAGUUGAGUUACCACCUACCUGUUUUAAUGAAAAUGUGCUUAAAAGUUAGCCACAUAUUACAUUUUGCAGAUGAAAGUAUGUAAAAAGAGGUCAAAAUUUUAAAAAAUGGAAAUGCCAACAGGGAACCACCAGUAGGCGGGCCUGAUACUCCGCUCUAUUUUAAUUAUUGAGAUUUUCUUUUGGCAUUAUUUUCUGGUUCUUUUGCACGAUCGAAUAUCCCACAUUCCGAAUCUUUAUUAUUUUUAAUGGAAAGCUGUCUCUUUCAUGGCUGUCCCCAACACUUUGGAUCCUUGUCAUUGAUCAAGGGUUCUUGUUUGUUGUUUCAGGGAUCUCUCGAUAGUUCGAAAGCUGAGAGCAUGGUGAAGAAUCUACAAACGACCGGCAGGUAUCUGCGUGAUGUAUGGUGAUGAAACUUCCAAGACUGAGCCUCAGGGUAAGGCAGAUAAUAUUGAAACAUACCAGCUACAAUAUACAUAGUGAAGGCUGGUUGGGAUGAAGGAAAUUUAUGAGAUAGCUGCCUUUGAAAAGCACAAGCAAACAAGUUGCAACAAUUCACUUGUGAUUCUUUUUAUGGUUCCUAUAUCAAGGAAUUCUUUUCUUUUAAUGUAAUUUAUGUAUACAAAAGUAUAAUAAUUUUUGAGCAUGCUUACCUUAUCAGUUGUAAUUUUCUUGGAUGAACCAACAAUGGUUCAAAUGAGAGAACUUAUAUGUAAUUUGUUUGAAUGGAUAAUUAUGACUUUCAAGUGAUAUAUAAC
RNAcentral lists this unclassified non-coding RNA (4126 nucleotides) under Hevea brasiliensis (rubber tree). Lineage: Eukaryota; Viridiplantae; Streptophyta; Magnoliopsida; Malpighiales; Euphorbiaceae. The record is from RNAcentral.